Molecule: ribosomal RNA, 798 nt
Filed under: uncultured Candidatus Altimarinota bacterium
Lineage: Bacteria; Candidatus Altimarinota
Description: bacterial SSU rRNA
Rfam family: Bacterial small subunit ribosomal RNA
Source: RNAcentral
AACGGUCAAAUCGUUACAAAAACUUCCAGACUAGAGAAUGAUAGAGGCAACUGGAAUUCUGCAUGUAGGGGUAAAAUCCGUUGAUAUGCGGAAGAACACCAAAAGCGAAGGCAGGUUGCUGGGUCAUUUCUGACGCUGUUGCACGAAAGCGUGGGGAGCAAACAGGAUUAGAUACCCUGGUAGUCCACGCUGUAAACCAUGGACACUCGGUGUGAGGAGGACUCGACCCCUCCUUGUGCUUAAGCUAACGCGUUAAGUGUCCCGCCUGGGGAGUACGGCCGCAAGGUUAAAACUCAAAGGAAUAGACGGGGACCCACACAAGCGGUGGAGCAUGUGGUUUAAUUCGACGAUAAACGAGGAACCUUACCAAGACUUGACAUCUCCGGAACUCUGAAGAAAUUCAGGGGUGCCGCAAGGAACCGGAUGACAGGUGCUGCAUGGUCGUCGUCAGCUCGUGCCUUGAGGUGUUCGGUUAAGUCCGUAAACGAGCGCAACCCAUGUCCUAUGUUGCAUUUUCAUAGGAGACUGCCGGCUUUAAGUCGGAGGAAGAUAUGGAUGACGUCAGAUCAGCAUGGCCUUUAUGUCUUGGGCCACACACGUGCUACAAUGGCCGAUACAAUGGGCAGCCAACCCGCAAGGGGGAGCCAAUCCCAACAAAAUCGGUCUCAGUUCAGAUUGAGGGCUGCAACUCGUCCUCAUGAAGUUGGAAUCGCUAGUAACCGCGAAUCAGCUAUGUCGCGGUGAAUAUGUUCCUGGGUCUUGUACUCACCGCCCGUCAAUUCAUGAAAGGUGGGAGUA